UGAACAGCUGUCUCGACGUGUGGUGAA
This 27-nucleotide non-coding RNA is filed under the name Bombyx mori (domestic silkworm). Lineage: Eukaryota; Metazoa; Arthropoda; Insecta; Lepidoptera; Bombycidae. The record is from RNAcentral.